Molecule: ribosomal RNA, 254 nt
Filed under: uncultured bacterium
Lineage: Bacteria
Description: partial 16S ribosomal RNA
Rfam family: Bacterial small subunit ribosomal RNA
Source: RNAcentral
UACGUAGGGCGCAAGCGUUGUCCGGAAUUAUUGGGCGUAAAGAGCUCGUAGGCGGUCUGUCGCGUCCGUUGUGAAAACUCGAGGCUCAACCUCGGGCUUGCAGUGGAUACGGGCAGACUAGAGUGCGGUAGGGGAGACUGGAAUUCCUGGUGUAGCGGUGGAAUGCGCAGAUAUCAGGAGGAACACCUGAGGUGAAGACGGGUUGCUGGGCCGACACUGACGCUGAGUGCGCGAAAGCCAGGGGAGCAAACGGG